GGGAGACCACCACCACUGGAUCUCAAGGGUGGGAUUGGAUUUAUCCAUUCUCUGCUUUUGUAUUAGGAUUCCCAAGGUAUAAUCAUUUAUCAACAACAACAACAACAAAUAAACAAGACAAGACAAGACAAGACAAAGAUGACUUCCUCACAGGGCUGAAGACUGGGAUUCCAAAGCAAAGGACCCUUCUGCAGAGAGCUGAGGACAAGAGAAGGAAGAUCGCACAACCCUAUCACAGCGAUGGAGAAACACGAUGAACGAUGAAGCUGGAAAGGGAGGCUUCAGUACCAUGCUAAGGGUUUGAGAUGUGAGCCAGGCUUGGCCCCUUUAGUUUCCUAAAUAAACAUUGAUUUAUCUUUCCA
This 362-nucleotide long non-coding RNA is filed under the name Mus spicilegus (steppe mouse). RNAcentral describes it as "lncRNA (ENSMSIG00000004913.1)". The record is from RNAcentral. Lineage: Eukaryota; Metazoa; Chordata; Mammalia; Rodentia; Muridae.